GGGUUGUGAGGUUAAGCGACUAAGCGUACACGGUGGAUGCCCUGGCAGUCAGAGGCGAUGAAGGACGUGCUAAUCUGCGAUAAGCGUCGGUGAGGUGAUAUGAACCGUUAUAACCGGCGAUUUCCGAAUGGGGAAACCCAGUGUGUUUCGACACACUAUCAUUAACUGAAUCCAUAGGUUAAUGAGGCGAACCGGGGGAACUGAAACAUCUAAGUACCCCGAGGAAAAGAAAUCAACCGAGAUUCCCCCAGUAGCGGCGAGCGAACGGGGAGGAGCCCAGAGCCUGAAUCAGUGUGUGUGUUAGUGGAAGCGUCUGGAAAGGCGCGCGAUACAGGGUGACAGCCCCGUACACAAAAAUGCACAUAUUGUGAGCUCGAUGAGUAGGGCGGGACACGUGGUAUCCUGUCUGAAUAUGGGGGGACCAUCCUCCAAGGCUAAAUACUCCUGACUGACCGAUAGUGAACCAGUACCGUGAGGGAAAGGCGAAAAGAACCCCGGCGAGGGGAGUGAAAAAGAACCUGAAACCGUGUACGUACAAGCAGUGGGAGCCUCUUUAUGGGGUGACUGCGUACCUUUUGUAUAAUGGGUCAGCGACUUAUAUUCUGUAGCAAGGUUAACCGAAUAGGGGAGCCGAAGGGAAACCGAGUCUUAACUGGGCGUUAAGUUGCAGGGUAUAGACCCGAAACCCGGUGAUCUAGCCAUGGGCAGGUUGAAGGUUGGGUAACACUAACUGGAGGACCGAACCGACUAAUGUUGAAAAAUUAGCGGAUGACUUGUGGCUGGGGGUGAAAGGCCAAUCAAACCGGGAGAUAGCUGGUUCUCCCCGAAAGCUAUUUAGGUAGCGCCUCGUGAAUUCAUCUCCGGGGGUAGAGCACUGUUUCGGCAAGGGGGUCAUCCCGACUUACCAACCCGAUGCAAACUGCGAAUACCGGAGAAUGUUAUCACGGGAGACACACGGCGGGUGCUAACGUCCGUCGUGAAGAGGGAAACAACCCAGACCGCCAGCUAAGGUCCCAAAGUCAUGGUUAAGUGGGAAACGAUGUGGGAAGGCCCAGACAGCCAGGAUGUUGGCUUAGAAGCAGCCAUCAUUUAAAGAAAGCGUAAUAGCUCACUGGUCGAGUCGGCCUGCGCGGAAGAUGUAACGGGGCUAAACCAUGCACCGAAGCUGCGGCAGCGACACUAUGUGUUGUUGGGUAGGGGAGCGUUCUGUAAGCCUGUGAAGGUGGCCUGUGAGGGUUGCUGGAGGUAUCAGAAGUGCGAAUGCUGACAUAAGUAACGAUAAAGCGGGUGAAAAGCCCGCUCGCCGGAAGACCAAGGGUUCCUGUCCAACGUUAAUCGGGGCAGGGUGAGUCGACCCCUAAGGCGAGGCCGAAAGGCGUAGUCGAUGGGAAACAGGUUAAUAUUCCUGUACUUGGUGUUACUGCGAAGGGGGGACGGAGAAGGCUAUGUUGGCCGGGCGACGGUUGUCCCGGUUUAAGCGUGUAGGCUGGUUUUCCAGGCAAAUCCGGAAAACCAAGGCUGAGGCGUGAUGACGAGGCACUACGGUGCUGAAGCGACAAAUGCCCUGCUUCCAGGAAAAGCCUCUAAGCAUCAGGUAACAUCAAAUCGUACCCCAAACCGACACAGGUGGUCAGGUAGAGAAUACCAAGGCGCUUGAGAGAACUCGGGUGAAGGAACUAGGCAAAAUGGUGCCGUAACUUCGGGAGAAGGCACGCUGAUAUGUAGGUGAAGCGACUUGCUCGUGGAGCUGAAAUCAGUCGAAGAUACCAGCUGGCUGCAACUGUUUAUUAAAAACACAGCACUGUGCAAACACGAAAGUGGACGUAUACGGUGUGACGCCUGCCCGGU
Molecule: ribosomal RNA, 1848 nt
Filed under: Escherichia coli
Lineage: Bacteria; Pseudomonadati; Pseudomonadota; Gammaproteobacteria; Enterobacterales; Enterobacteriaceae
Description: partial 23S ribosomal RNA
Rfam family: Bacterial large subunit ribosomal RNA
Source: RNAcentral